CAAGAUCCUCAUAAGAAUAGUCUACAAAUGCAAAUGGCAGCCAUCAGCUCCAGAAUGGCAUCUGUCUCCUGGGUCUCACUGUGCUGGAGAUUGGGCACUUAGGCAUUUUUAAAAAGAUGGAUGACCUGAUGGAUAAAUGAUUGCAGAAUGACAGAUGCACGCGCUUUGACCCCAGUCCUCCUGGAUGCUGCCUGGCGCAGCUGGGCAUCUCUCUGACCUUUCUUUCUGGACAGCGUGGUGAAGGGGAGAGGGAAGCUUCACCCUCCACAAUCUGUCUGAUCCAGCACAGCUGCAUUUUCUCAUUCUUGAGAACCGGACGAGUUUCCUGAGCCCUGGGUUGAUAUACUGUACCAUCUUUGGUGCAGCUGUAAUUUUAACAAGGGGAACCGACUUGAACCUCUCUAAUCCUUACUCCAGACACCUCGCACUCCUGAGACUAAUGUGUAUGCGUGCAUGUGUUUUUGAGGAUUUUUCAGCUGUGCUUCUGAGAAAGUGGCUCAGUCCAAAGUUUAAAAAAGAAAAGAAAAAAGUGGGGAGGGGUUUAGUGGCACAUCUGUCUGAUUCUGACCACAAGACAUUUCAGUAGCUUUUGUAUUUACAAUAGCAAAAAUAAUGUUAUUAUUCUGUGCUCACCUACUGAUGUCU
Molecule: long non-coding RNA, 645 nt
Organism: Cercocebus atys (sooty mangabey)
Lineage: Eukaryota; Metazoa; Chordata; Mammalia; Primates; Cercopithecidae
Exons: 3
Source: RefSeq, a predicted model, not a curated record